This 208-nucleotide ribosomal RNA is filed under the name uncultured bacterium. RNAcentral's name for it is "partial 16S ribosomal RNA". It matches the Rfam family "Bacterial small subunit ribosomal RNA", at positions 568 to 774 of the family's 1533-position model. The record is from RNAcentral.
CUCGUAGGCGGCCAACUAAGUCAGACGUGAAAUCCCUCGGCUUAACCGGGGAACUGCGUCUGAUACUGGAUGGCUUGAGUUUGGGAGAGGGAUGCGGAAUUCCAGGUGUAGCGGUGAAAUGCGUAGAUAUCUGGAGGAACACCGGUGGCGAAGGCGGCAUCCUGGACCAAUACUGACGCUGAGUGAGCGAAAGCCAGGGGAGCAAACG